GAGAAGCAAGACCGUGAGGUGGAGCAAAACUCAAAAACUUAGUCUCAGUUCGGAUUGUAGGCUGAAACUCGCCUACAUGAAGCUGGAGUUGCUAGUAAUCGCGAAUCAGCAUGUCGCGGUGAAUACGUUCCCGGGCCUUGUACACACCGCCCGUCACACCAUGAGAGUUGGCAAUACCCAACGUACGUGAUCUAACCCGCAAGGGAGGAAGCGUCCUAAGGUAGGGUCAGCGAUUGGGGUGAAGUCGUAACAAGGUACC
This 259-nucleotide ribosomal RNA is filed under the name uncultured bacterium. RNAcentral describes it as "partial 16S ribosomal RNA". It matches the Rfam family "Bacterial small subunit ribosomal RNA", at positions 1244 to 1500 of the family's 1533-position model. The record is from RNAcentral.